Gasterosteus aculeatus aculeatus (three-spined stickleback) is the source of this 592-nucleotide long non-coding RNA. NCBI's taxonomy places the organism in Eukaryota, Metazoa, Chordata, Actinopteri, Perciformes, Gasterosteidae. The record is from Ensembl.
CGGGCAGCUAAAAAGUCCUGCUACUUUCUAGUUCCGCUUCACUUUCUGCGCGGCGUUAGUACCGGAGAGCCGGGGGGGGCAGCGGAGCAUCGUCACCGGGGAGUCUGAAACACGGCCAAGUCUCCCACCAACUCCGGUCGGAGCCGAGGCGAGGCGGCGGUCUGCGGCGCGUCCAGCGGCCGGGCGCGGGGCUCCUCCGGGCGGCUUGUCUUCACUGCCGCCGUCGGUCGUGGUCCGGUUUCUUUCUUUUUCCUCCUCAACUCCGCUCCAAACUAAACGUGUUCACGUUAAAAACGUGCAGCUCGCGCUCAAGUCGGCUACAAUGGCCCGGUGACCGACUUCCGGUCUUGUCCAUACUGACUAUGUUGAACUUGAUGUUUCCCAAACCGGCCAUCGCAGACAAAUCUAUCACAGGAACCUGGAGCAACCCGCUGUGAUCUGCUGGACGUGGCGGUGUUUCUGCAGCGUCGGUGGACGUGAUGUGGCACGCGUCACAGGGGAAGGACAAUGUUUCUACCCACUGACCAGCAGGGGGCGACUCCUCCGGUUCCAUAGACGUCUAUGAGAAAAGGACUCUACUUAUCUUUCUAUU